GGAGAGUGGCAGACGGGUGAGUAACACAUGGCUGACCUGCCCUUUAGAGGGGGACAACGGCUGGAAACGGCCGCUAAUACCCCAUACGCUCUUGGGGGUUAGAGGACCCGAGAGGAAAGCCUCGCAAGAGGUGCUUGAGGGAGGGGGCUGUGGCCCAUCAGCUAGUUGGUAGGGUAAGAGCCUACCAAGGCGAGGACGGGUAGGGGACCUGAGAGGGUGACCCCCCACACGGGCACUGAGACACGGGCCCGACUCCUACGGGAGGCAGCAGUAAGGGAUAUUGCGACAAUGGGCGCAAGCCUGACGCAGCAACGCCGCGUGCGGGAUGACGGCCUUCGGGUUGUAAACCGCUUUUCUGGGGGAAGAGGCAGGACGGUACCUCAGGAAGAAGUCUCGGCUAACUACGUGCCAGCAGCCGCGGUAAAACGUAGGAGGCGAGCGUUAUCCGGAUUUACUGGGUGUAAAGCGCGAGCAGGCGGUUGUGCAAGUCAUGUGUGAAAGCGCUAAGGCUCAACCGGGCGAGGACNGGUGAAACUUGCACACUGGAGGCAGGUAGAGGCGGAUGGAAUUCCGGGUGUAGUGGUGAAAUGCGUAGAGAUCCGGAGGAACACCAGUGGCGAAGGCGGUCCGCUGGGCCUGGCCUGACGCUCAGACGCGAAAGCAUGGGGAGCGAACGGGAUUAGAAACCCCGGUAGUCCAUGCUGUAAACGAUGUGGACUAGGUGUGGCGGGGUGAAAGCCGCGGUGCCGCAGCUAACGUGAUAAGUCCACCACCUGGGGACUACGGCCGCAAGGUUAAAACUCAAAGGAAUUGACGGGGGCCCGCACAAGCAGCGGAGCGUGUGGUUUAAUUCGAGGCUACACGAAAAACCUUACCUGGAUUUGACAUGACGGUGGUAGGGAAGCGAAAGCGGACCGACCUUCGGGAGCCGCCACAGGUGCUGCAUGGCUGUCGUCAGCUCGUGUCGUGAGAUGUUCGGUUAAGUCCGGUAACGAGCGCAACCCUCGGGUCUAGUUACAGGUGUCUAGACCGACUGCCCGUUGAACGCGGGAGGAAGGUGGGGAUGACGUCAAGUCAGCAUGGCCUAUAUAUCCAGGGCGACACACACGCUACAAUGGCCGGUCCAAUGGGUAGCCAACCCGCGAGGGGGAGCCAAGCCAUCAAAGCCGGUCUCAGUUCGGAUUGCAGGCUGCAACCCGCCUGCAUGAAGUCGGAGUUGCUAGUAA
This 1226-nucleotide ribosomal RNA is filed under the name uncultured Chlorobiota bacterium. RNAcentral's name for it is "bacterial SSU rRNA". It matches the Rfam family "Bacterial small subunit ribosomal RNA", at positions 90 to 1341 of the family's 1533-position model. The record is from RNAcentral. Lineage: Bacteria; Pseudomonadati; Chlorobiota.